UCGAACGAGAAUCGAGAUUAUAGCAAUAUAGACUCGAGGAAAGUGGCGGAAGGGUGAGUAAUGCAUGGGUAACCUGCCUUCGAAGUUGGGGAUAGCUCCGCGAAAGUGGAAUUAAUACCGAAUGUGGUCUUCCUGCGCAUGCAGGAAUAUCCAAAGACGGGGAUCCGCGAGGACCUGUCGCUUGAAGAUGGACCCAUGUCCUAUCAGCUAGUUGGUGAGGUAACGGCUUACCAAGGCUUACGGGUAGCUGGUCUGAGAGGAUGGUCAGCCACACUGGGACUGAGACACUGCCCAGACUCCUACGGGAGGCUGCAGUCGAGGAUCUUUCACAAUGCGCGAAAGCGUGAUGGAGCGACGCCGCGUGCAGGAUGAAGGCCUUCGGGUCGUAAACUGCUGUCAGGAGGGAGCAACGAGCGGGAUAUUAAUACUAUCUCGCAGUGAUAGUACCUCCAGAGGAAGCCACGGCUAACUCUGUG
Molecule: ribosomal RNA, 476 nt
Filed under: uncultured bacterium
Lineage: Bacteria
Description: bacterial SSU rRNA
Rfam family: Bacterial small subunit ribosomal RNA
Source: RNAcentral